GACGAACGCUGGCGGCGUGCUUAACACAUGCAAGUCGAGCGGUAAGGCCCUUUCGGGGGUACACGAGCGGCGAACGGGUGAGUAACACGUGGGUGACCUGCCCUCAGCUCUGGGAUAAGCCUGGGAAACCGGGUCUAAUACCGGAUAUGACUCCAUGACGCAUGUUGUGGGGUGGAAAGCCUUGUGCGGCUGAGGAUGGGCCCGCGGCCUAUCAGCUUGUCGGUGGGGUGAUGGCCUACCAAGGCGACGACGGGUAGCCGGCCUGAGAGGGCGACCGGCCACACUGGGACUGAGACACGGCCCAGACUCCUACGGGAGGCAGCAGGUGGGGAACCUUGCGCAAGUGGGACGAAAGCCUGACGCAGCGACGCCGCGUGA
Molecule: ribosomal RNA, 378 nt
Filed under: uncultured bacterium
Lineage: Bacteria
Description: bacterial SSU rRNA
Rfam family: Bacterial small subunit ribosomal RNA
Source: RNAcentral